GACGAACGCUGGCGGCGUGCUUAACACAUGCAAGUCGAACGGAAAGGCCCUGCUUGCAGGGUACUCGAGUGGCGAACGGGUGAGUAACACGUGGGUGAUCUGCCCUGCACUUCGGGAUAAGCCUGGGAAACUGGGUCUAAUACCGGAUAGGAGCCAUUUUUAGUGUGAUGGUUGGAAAGUUUUUUCGGUGUAGGAUGAGCUGGCGGCCUAUCAGCUUGUUGGUGGGGUAAUGGCCUACCAAGGCGGCGACGGGUAGCCGGCCUGAGAGGGUGGACGGCCACAUUGGGACUGAGAUACGGCCCAGACUCCUACGGGAGGCAGCAGUGGGGAAUAUUGCACAAGGGGCGCAAGCCUGAUGCAGCGACGCCGCGUGGGGGAUGACGGCCUUCGGGUUGUAAACUCCUUUCGCUAGGGACGAAGCUUUUUGUGACGGUACCUAGAUAAGAAGCACCGGCUAACUACGUG
RNAcentral lists this ribosomal RNA (465 nucleotides) under uncultured bacterium. Its description in RNAcentral is "partial 16S ribosomal RNA". It matches the Rfam family "Bacterial small subunit ribosomal RNA", at positions 28 to 507 of the family's 1533-position model. The record is from RNAcentral.